UCAUUUGAUGAAUGGCACUGGGCGCCGACAGUCAACAUAUGACUGGUCUUGAUGGAAAUGCCUUAUUGCGGCAGGCCUAGAAAACCUCGCCCACUGAUU
Molecule: small nucleolar RNA, 99 nt
Filed under: Exophiala oligosperma
Lineage: Eukaryota; Fungi; Ascomycota; Eurotiomycetes; Chaetothyriales; Herpotrichiellaceae
Also listed under: 1 other name
Description: A. fumigatus snoRNA Afu_513
Rfam family: A. fumigatus snoRNA Afu_513
Source: Rfam by way of RNAcentral